This 427-nucleotide unclassified non-coding RNA is filed under the name soil metagenome. Its description in RNAcentral is "partial contains 5.8S ribosomal RNA, internal transcribed spacer 2, and large subunit ribosomal RNA". The stretch from base 1 to 120 matches the Rfam family "5.8S ribosomal RNA", at positions 35 to 154 of the family's 154-position model. The record is from RNAcentral.
GAUGAAGAACGUAGCGAAAUGCGAUAAGUAAUGUGAAUUGCAGAUUUCAGUGAAUCAUCGAAUCUUUGAACGCACCUUGCGCCUUGUGGUAUUCCACAAGGCAUGCCCGUUUGAGUAUCAUUAAAUCAUCAACUCUAAAACCUUUGUGGUUUUUUUUAGAGCUUGGUCUUGAGGGUUUUGCAGGCUUUUUUUUUUUUUUCGAGUCUGCUCCCUUUAAAUGCAUUAGCGAGACUUACCUAUGCUGAACCGUCUCUUUGACGUGAUAAUUAUCUGAGUCGAAUUUUGGUUCUCGUUGGGCUUGCUUCUAAUCGUCUGUUAAAGACAAAACGGAUUUGGGUGCAUAUAUGCGCCUUUUUCCAAAACCUUUUUUUGAUCUCAAAUCGGGUAGGACUACCCGCUGAACUUAAGCAUAUCAAUAAGCGGAGGA